RNAcentral lists this ribosomal RNA (792 nucleotides) under uncultured marine archaeon. Its description in RNAcentral is "bacterial SSU rRNA". It matches the Rfam family "Archaeal small subunit ribosomal RNA", at positions 20 to 816 of the family's 1478-position model. The record is from RNAcentral.
GCACUGACCGCUAUCGGAUUGAUACUAAGCCAUGCGAGUCAUUGUAGUAAUACAAGGCAGACGGCUCAGUAACGCGUAGUCAACCUAACCUAUGGACGGGAAUAACCUCGGGAAACUGAGUAUAAUGCCCGAUAGAACAUUAUGCCUGGAAUGGUUUAUGUUCCAAAUGAUUUAUCGCCGUAGGAUGGGACUGCGGCCUAUCAGUUUGUUGGUGAGGUAAUGGCCCACCAAGACUAUUACAGGUACGGGCUCUGAGAGGAGUAGCCCGGAGAUGGGUACUGAGACACGGACCCAGGCCCUAUGGGGCGCAGCAGGCGAGAAAACUUUGCAAUGUGCGAAAGCACGGCAAGGUUAAUCCGAGUGGUUUCUGCUAAAGGAACCUUUUGUCGGUCCUAGAAACACCGAUGAAUAAGGGGUGGGCAAGUUCUGGUGUCAGCCGCCGCGGUAAAACCAGCACCUCAAGUGGUCAGGAUGAUUAUUGGGCCUAAAGCAUCCGUAGCCGGCUCUAUAAGUUUUCGGUUAAAUCUGUACGCUCAACGUACAGGCUGCCGGGAAUACUGCAGAGCUAGGGAGUGGGAGAGGUAGACGGUACUCGGUAGGAAGGGGUAAAAUCCUUUGAUCUAUUGAUGACCACCUGUGGCGAAGGCGGUCUAUCAGAACACGUCCGACGGUGAGGGAUGAAAGCUGGGGGAAGCAAACCGGAUUAGAUACCCGGGUAGUCCCAGCUGUAAACUAUGCAAACUCAGUGAUGCAUUGGCUUGUGGGCUAAUGCAGUGCUGCAGGGAAGCCGUU